This 770-nucleotide long non-coding RNA is filed under the name Homo sapiens (human). Its description in RNAcentral is "HSALNT0233359". Lineage: Eukaryota; Metazoa; Chordata; Mammalia; Primates; Hominidae. The record is from RNAcentral.
CCGCAAGCAACGUGGCCCACAACGCAGAGAUGCCUCUGGCAAUCUCUCCGGAAAAACGAAGAUUCCUUACCUGGGAUAGGGGACAACCUCGUAAUCUGGUGACAUCAUGAUCCUGCUCUGGAAGCCCUGGCUCUUCGGAGGGCAGCUGCCUGAUGUUAAACCCAUGGCCUACCCAGCAGUGACAGCCUGACAUUCUCAUCGCUCCAUCCUGAACACUGCUGACAAAUAAACCCACUCUCAGAAAAGGCAAUUCUUCCCUCGCAGUUCUCCAUACCCAGUCUCGUCUCAUCUGGAAAGCGUAAUUGGCAACAGCCGAAAGGAUAAAUAUUUAAAAAUAAAUCAGGGAGCGCUAACCCCUUCCCUACUCCUCCCCUUACCCACUCUCCAAGCCAGAGGCCUGCCCCCUAACGCUGAGCUGGCUGGUAAAUUACAAUGAUUCUACCGAGCCAAACCUGCUUGUCUCUCUCUUUCUCUACACAUACACACUUACUAAUGCUGUAUCCUUCCACUUUUGCAAAGGUAAAUAUGAUCUCUAAGAUACAGUGGAUGUCAGCAUUCUGACUUCCAGCGUAACCUGGGCUCUCUUUUCACAGUACAGCGGGUUUAGACAGAUUUGUGCACCCUUCCGGGUUCUUCUAUUUUUAUUAAAUUAUACGUAUACAUUGAUUUUUAAAACUAGUGCUUAAAUAACCCGGAGGCUUUAACAAAGAAAAAUCCAGAAGAGGGCAAGAAACAAAAACAAACGUUCCUGAAAUAAACAAGGAACCAUU